UGAGCAAUCUGCCCUUCUCUUCGGAAUAAGCGUGGGAAACCGCGUCUAAUGCCGAAUACGACCUCCUUUCGCAUGAUCGGAGGUGGAAAGCUCCGGCGGAGAAGGAUGAGCUCGCGGCCUAUCAGCUAGUUGGUGUGGGUAAUGGCCCACCAAGGCGACGACGGGUAGCCGGCCUGGAGAGGGUGACCGGCCACACUGGGACUGAGACACCGGCCCAGACCUCCGUACGGGAGNAGCG
Molecule: ribosomal RNA, 238 nt
Filed under: uncultured bacterium
Lineage: Bacteria
Description: partial 16S ribosomal RNA
Rfam family: Bacterial small subunit ribosomal RNA
Source: RNAcentral